UGGGGAAUUUUCCGCAAUGGGCGAAAGCCUGACGGAGCAACGCCGCGUGAGGGAUGAAGGCCUCUGGGCUGUAAACCUCUUUUCUCAAGGAAGAAGACCUGACGGUACUUGAGGAAUAAGCCACGGCUAAUUACGUGCCAGCAGCCGCGGUAAUACGUAGGGUGCGAGCGUUAAUCGGAAUUACUGGGCGUAAAGCGUGCGCAGGCGGUUAUAUAAGACAGAUGUGAAAUCCCCGGGCUCAACCUGGGACCUGCAUUUGUGACUGUAUAGCUAGAGUACGGUAGAGGGGGAUGGAAUUCCGCGUGUAGCAGUGAAAUGCGUAGAUAUGCGGAGGAACACCGAUGGCGAAGGCAAUCCCCUGGACCUGUACUGACGCUCAUGCACGAAAGCGUGGGGAGCAAACA
This 404-nucleotide ribosomal RNA is filed under the name uncultured prokaryote. Its description in RNAcentral is "bacterial SSU rRNA". It matches the Rfam family "Bacterial small subunit ribosomal RNA", at positions 355 to 774 of the family's 1533-position model. The record is from RNAcentral.